RNAcentral lists this long non-coding RNA (1290 nucleotides) under Vulpes vulpes (red fox). RNAcentral describes it as "lncRNA (ENSVVUG00000000697.1)". The record is from RNAcentral. Lineage: Eukaryota; Metazoa; Chordata; Mammalia; Carnivora; Canidae.
GGAAAGGAUUUUGUCAGAAGGAAGUACUCUUUGCUGUGUCUGCUGUCAGAAGGCCCACUUGUGAAUGUGUGGAGAUAACUGAGCCAAGUAUAUGUUACAGACCAGGAAGCAGAUUCUCACUUUACAUGUAGCUGCCACUUUGAAAAGUGGCAAUUGCACUGUCAUUAUUUCAUUUUAUUUAUUUAUUUUUUAAUUAAUUUUUAUUGGUGUUCAAUUUACCAACAUACAGAAAAACACCCAGUGCUCAUCCCGUCAAGUGUCCACCUCAGUGUCAUUAUUUCAUUUUAGAAUUCUUCUAAAAUAUAUUUUAAAAAUCAAUAAUUACUAUUUUUUUUCCCCUCAUUCACACUGGAAUAUUGGCCAGAUACCAAAACUCUUCAUGCCAUAGGAUGCAUUGUGUUUUACUUUGGGAACUUUCAGGGCAAUAGACCACUAAAUAAAACUGGCUUAGUUAAGGAACACACUUAAUUAACAUCACAUGUCAAUAAGUCUGGAAGCAGGAGUUCCACCAUUGUGACUCACUGUUAGCCUGCAGACAGACUUCUAGGCUCUUGCCUUCCUCUUUGGUUACGUGGGGGCCCUCAUUGUUAGAUCAUCACAUUUCAUAGGACUGCAGCAGAGGAAAGCAGAGUGGUGAACCUGCCCCUGUGUUUCUGUCUUACUAGAAAAGAAAACAUUUCCUUGAAGAUCUUCCAUUUAGGUCACACUAUUGGAACCCGUCACAACCACUCUUACCUGCAAGGGAGGCUGGGAGAGUGACCAAAUCAGGAAAUAACCUAAAUAAUUUUUGAGCAAGAUUGAAACAAAUAUUACAAUAGUCACAAGGCUGAUUCUAAGGAGUGGUUGGUCAUUUCCUUCACUUCUGAAAGCCUUCAGAGAAUGAUUUGCUUUACUUCCUCUACUAGGACAGAUGUACAAGUAGUUCCUGAAGAGGCUCUCUCCUCUCUGCAGCAAGCUGGUGUGCACUCCCUCUGGGCCUGGCUGGUUCUGACUUGUACCCUGUGUCUGCACACCCAUGUGGCUAACAUCCCUCUGACGUCUUGGAAGCUGUUCUUGUGUAUGGUGGUGGAAGGUAAACUGAGACCCAGUGUCCUCUGGAUAGCCCUGAUCUGGAUUGGUGCUCAGUUUUACUUUCCAAGAGAUUGUAGGGCAGUUCCAAGUAUAUUGUGGGCAGGGGUAGAGAAACUAGUUUUCUGUUGUUGGCUGCAGGGCCAACUAUAGAAUUUGCAAAGUGAAAAUGUCUGGUAUUCUCUGGGGGCAGGGAAAUUAGUCUCCCCUUCCCAUGCCUGC